UUUUCUCCCCUUUUUUUGGGGGGGUGUAUAUAUCAAUGAAUAAUAAUUCGAGCAUAUAAAUGUUUUUUUUUUCACUUUUAGCUUCACAAUACCCUUACGCAAAGGCAUCAACUCUUAUUUGUUUCUUGAGGUCCAUCUCAUAAUUGGCUCUCAACGGAUCAGAUACAUAAUAUGUAUGGUAUUUUUUUUUUUCUUUUCCUGUCUUUAUAAUUAGAUUGAUAGGGAUAUUGCACAAAUUCAUUUUUGAUCACGUAACUAUAAUGUUUUUAUAGUUCCUUUUUCAGAGCUACAGCC
Molecule: long non-coding RNA, 294 nt
Filed under: Salvia miltiorrhiza (redroot sage)
Lineage: Eukaryota; Viridiplantae; Streptophyta; Magnoliopsida; Lamiales; Lamiaceae
Description: long non-coding RNA (SMIL_LNC011687)
Source: RNAcentral